UACGUAGGGACCAAGCGUUGUCCGGAAUCAUUGGGCGUAAAGGGCGCGUAGGCGGCCACCGCAAGUCGAUUGUGAAAUCUCCGGGCUUAACCCGGAAAGGUCAACCGAUACUGCGGGGCUAGAGUGCAGAAGGGGCAACUGGAAUUCUCGGUGUAGCGGUGAAAUGCGUAGAUAUCGAGAGGAACACCUGCGGCGAAGGCGGGUUGCUGGGCUGACACUGACGCUGAAGUGCGAAAGCUAGGGGAGCGAACGGG
This 254-nucleotide ribosomal RNA is filed under the name uncultured bacterium. RNAcentral describes it as "partial 16S ribosomal RNA". It matches the Rfam family "Bacterial small subunit ribosomal RNA", at positions 524 to 776 of the family's 1533-position model. The record is from RNAcentral.